GGAUGAUCCAAUUUGUUAUUCCCAAUUUUGCAAACUGUUGGAGACAGAUUUCAAGGAAGUCACUAUUCCUAAGGUUACAAGGCUAACAAAGUGUGACAUAUGUGUCAUUCUAAAAGAGGAGAAGCAAAAGACCUUGGAUAAAACAGAGAGAAAUUACUAUGAUGUUCUUUACAACCAACAUAAUCAGCUUCAAAGGGAAGAGCGUGAGAAGUAUUAUAAACACCGUGCCAAAGCUAAAUCAG
Molecule: long non-coding RNA, 242 nt
Organism: Dendronephthya gigantea
Lineage: Eukaryota; Metazoa; Cnidaria; Anthozoa; Malacalcyonacea; Nephtheidae
Exons: 3
Source: RefSeq, a predicted model, not a curated record